GGCGAGCGGCGGACGGGUGAGGAACACGUAGGAAUCUACCCUCAAGCGGGGGAUAACUAAGGGAAACUUUAGCUAAUACCGCAUAAUCUCGAAAGAGAAAAGCUACCCGCAAGGGCGGCACUUGAGGAGGAGCCUGCGUCCGAUUAACUAGUUGGUGAGGUAAGAGCUCACCAAGGCGAUGAUCGGUAACUGGUCUGAGAGGACGACCAGUCACACUGGGACUGAGACACGGCCCAGACUCCUACGGGAGGCAGCAGUGGGGAAUAUUGGACAAUGGGGGCAACCCUGAUCCAGCGAUGCCGCGUGAGUGAAGAAGGCCUUCGGGUCGUAAAGCUCUUUAGGUUGGGAAGAAGGGUAUUCGGUGCAUAGCCGAGUAUUUUGACGGUACCGACAGAAUAAGCACCGGCAAACUCUGUGCCAGCAGCCGCGGUAAUACAGAGGGUGCGAGCGUUAAUCGGAGUUACUGGGCGUAAAGGGUGCGUAGGCGGUAAGAUGUGUGUGAUGUGAAAGCCCCGGGCUUAACCUGGGAAGUGCAUCGCAAA
This 542-nucleotide ribosomal RNA is filed under the name uncultured Aquicella sp. Its description in RNAcentral is "bacterial SSU rRNA". It matches the Rfam family "Bacterial small subunit ribosomal RNA", at positions 90 to 632 of the family's 1533-position model. The record is from RNAcentral. Lineage: Bacteria; Pseudomonadati; Pseudomonadota; Gammaproteobacteria; Legionellales; Coxiellaceae.